Molecule: ribosomal RNA, 253 nt
Filed under: uncultured bacterium
Lineage: Bacteria
Description: partial 16S ribosomal RNA
Rfam family: Bacterial small subunit ribosomal RNA
Source: RNAcentral
GACAGAGGAGGCAAGCGUUGCUCGGAAUCACUGGGCUUAAAGGGGGAGUAGGCGGCCGGGUAAGCGCGACGUGAAAUCUACCGGCUCAACCGGGGAAUUGCGUAGCGAACUGCAGGGCUUGAGGGCGGUAGAGGAGGACGGAACUCUGGGUGGAGCGGUGAAAUGCGUAGAGAUCCAGAGGAACGCCGGUGGAGAAGGCGGUCCUCUGGGCCGGUUCUGACGCUGAGGCACGAAAGCGUGGGGAGCAAACAGG